GAUGAACGCUAGCGGCAGGCUUAACACAUGCAAGUCGAGGGGCAUCGGGAGGGAAGCUUGCUUUCCUUGCCGGCGACCGGCGCACGGGUGAGUAACACGUAUGCAACCUGCCCUCUUCAGGGGGACAACCUUCCGAAAGGGAGGCUAAUCCCGCGUAUAUCGGUUUCGGGCAUCCGAGAUCGAGGAAAGAUUCAUCGGAAGAGGAUGGGCAUGCGGCGCAUUAGCUAGACGGCGGGGUAACGGCCCACCGUGGCGACGAUGCGUAGGGGUUCUGAGAGGAAGGUCCCCCACACUGGUACUGAGACACGGACCAGACUCCUACGGGAGGCAGCAGUGAGGAAUAUUGGUCAAUGGGAGAGAUCCUGAACCAGCCAAGCCGCGUGAGGGAAGACGGCCCUAUGGGUUGUAAACCUCUUUUGUCGGAGAACAAAACCCGGGACGAGUCCCGGACUGCGUGUAUCCGAAGAAAAAGCAUCGGCUAACUCCGUGCCAGCAGCCGCGGUAAUACGGAGGAUGCGAGCGUUAUCCGGAUUUAUUGGGUUUAAAGGGUGCGUAGGCGGUCCGUUAAGUCAGCGGUAAAAUUGCGGGGCUCAACCCCGUCGAGCCGUUGAAACUGGCAGACUUGAGUUGGCGAGAAGUACGCGGAAUGCGCGGUGUAGCGGUGAAAUGCAUAGAUAUCGCGCAGAACUCCGAUUGCGAAGGCAGCGUACCGGCGCCAGACUGACGCUGAGGCACGAAAGCGUGGGGAUCGAACAGGAUUAGAUACCCUGGUAGUCCACGCAGUAAACGAUGAAUGCUGGUUGUCCGGGUCGAAUGAGACCUGGGCGGCGAAGCGAAAGCGAUAAGCAUUCCACCUGGGGAGUACGCCGGCAACGGUGAAACUCAAAGGAAUUGACGGGGGCCCGCACAAGCGGAGGAACAUGUGGUUUAAUUCGAUGAUACGCGAGGAACCUUACCCGGGCUCAAACGGGAGUGGAAUGGACCAGAGACGGUUCAGCCUACGGGCCGCUUCCGAGGUGCUGCAUGGUUGUCGUCAGCUCGUGCCGUGAGGUGUCGGCUUAAGUGCCAUAACGAGCGCAACCCCCGCCGGCAGUUGCUAACGGGCAAUGCCGAGGACUCUGCCGGGACUGCCGCCGCAAGGCGUGAGGAAGGCGGGGAUGACGUCAAAUCAGCACGGCCCUUACGUCCGGGGCGACACACGUGUUACAAUGGGCGGUACAGCGGGAAGCCAGGCGGCGACGCCGAGCGGAACCCGAAAGCCGUUCUCAGUUCGGAUCGGAGUCUGCAACCCGACUCCGUGAAGCUGGAUUCGCUAGUAAUCGCGCAUCAGCCAUGGCGCGGUGAAUACGUUCCCGGGCCUUGUACACACCGCCCGUCAAGCCAUGGGAGCCGGGGGUGCUUGAAGUGCGUCGCCGCGAGGAGCGCCCUAGAGCAAAACCGGUGACUGGGGC
This 1451-nucleotide ribosomal RNA is filed under the name uncultured bacterium. RNAcentral's name for it is "16S ribosomal RNA". It matches the Rfam family "Bacterial small subunit ribosomal RNA". The record is from RNAcentral.